Molecule: long non-coding RNA, 2070 nt
Filed under: Salmo salar (Atlantic salmon)
Lineage: Eukaryota; Metazoa; Chordata; Actinopteri; Salmoniformes; Salmonidae
Description: lncRNA (ENSSSAG00000112333.1)
Source: RNAcentral
GUUGGGGGGAGGAAACGUUAGCAGGUUGGGGGGGGAGGAAACGUUAGCAGGUUGGGGGGAGGAAACGUUAGCAGGUUGGGGGGGGAGGAAACGUUAGCAGGUUGGGGGGAGGAAACGUUAGCAGGUUGGGGGGGGAGGAAACGUUAGCAGGUUGGGGGGGGAGGAAACGUUAGCAGGUUGGGGGGGAGGAAACGUUAGCAUAACAUUGCUCACUUAAAAACAACCACAGCCCUGUCAUAAUCUUCUUCUUCCUGUCUGGAACCCGGUCGGCGUGGUAACGCGUUGUGUGGUAACCGCGGUGAUUAGGCUGACGAUGUCGGAGAUUGUCAUGGCAACGUGAGGGCUGGCGAUAGGGUGGAGUGGAGGGAUGGAGGAGCGAGAGAGGAGAAAAUAGAUGGAGAUACUGUAAAUAAAGGGAGAGAAAAUAGAGGGAGGAGAGAAGAGAGAGAAUAGUGAGGGAGGAGAGAGAAUACUGAGGGAGGAGAGAGAGAAUAGUGAGGGAGGAGAGAAGAGAGAGAAUAGUGAGGGAGGAGAGAGAAUACUGAGGGAGGAGAGAGAGAAUAGUGAGGGAGGAGAGAGAGAAUAGUGAGGGAGGAGAGAGAGAAUAGUGAGGGAGGAGAGAGAGAGAAUAGUGAGGGAGGAGAGAGAGAAUACUGAGGGAGGAGAGAGAGAAUAGUGAGGGAGGAGAGAGAGAGAAUAGUGAGGGAGGAGAGAGAGAAUAGUGAGGGAGGAGAGAGAGAAUAGUGAGGGAGGACAGAGAGAAUAGUGAGGGAGGAGAGAGAGAGUAGUGAGGGAGGAGAGGGGGAAUAGUGAUGGAGGAGAGAGAGAAUAGUGAGGGAGGAGAGAGAGAAUAGUGAGGGAGGAGAGAGAGAAUAGUGAGGCAGGAGAGAGAGAAUAGUGAGGGAGGAGAGAGAGAAUAGUGAGGGAGGAGAGAGAGAAUAGUGAGGGAGGAGAGAGAGAAUAGUGAGGGAGGAGUGAGAGAAUAGUGAGGGAGGAGAGAGAGAAUAGUGAGGGAGGAGAGAGAGAAUAGUGAGGGAGGAGAGAGAGAAUAGUGAGGGAGGAGAGAGAGAGAAUAGUGAGAGAGGAGAGAGAGAAUAGUGAGGGAGGAGAGAGAGAAUAGUGAGGGAGGAGAGAGAAUAGUGAGGGAGGAGAGAGAAUACUGAGGGAGGAGAGAGAGAAUAGUGAGGGAGGAGAGAGAAUAGUGAGGGAGGAGAGAGAAUAGUGAGGGAGGAGAGAGAAUAGUGAGGGAGGAGAGAGAGAGAGAAUAGUGAGGGAGGAGAGAGAGAAUAGUGAGGGAGGAGAGAGAGAAUACUGAGGGAGGAGAGAGAAUACUGAGGGAGGAGAGAGAAUAGUGAGGGAGGAGAGAGAGAAUAGUGAGGGAGGAGAGAGAGAAUAGUGAGGGAGGAGAGAGAGAAUAGUGAGGGAGGAGAGAGAGAAUAGUGAGGGAGGAGAGAGAGAGAAUAGUGAGGGAGGAGAGAGAGAAUAGUGAGGGAGGAGAGAGAGAAUAGUGAGGGAGGAGAGAGAGAAUAGUGAGGGAGGCGAGAGAGAGAGAAUAGUGAGGGAGGAGAGGGGUAAUAGUGAUGGAGGAGAGAGAGAAUAGUGAGGGAGGAGAGAGAGAAUAGUGAGGGAGGAGAGAGAGAAUAGUGAGGAAGGAGAGAGAGAAUAGUGAGGGAGGAGAGAGAGAAUAGUGAGGGAGGAGAGAGAGAAUAGUGAGGGAGGAGAGAGAGAAUAUUGAGGGAGGAGAGAGAGAGAAUAGUGAGGGAGGAGAGAGAGAGAAUAGUGAGGGAGGAGAGAGAGAGAAUAGUGAGGGAGGAGAGAGAGAAUAGUGAGGGAGGAGAGAGAGAAUAGUGAGGGAGGAGAGAGAGAAUAGUGAGGGAGGAGAGAGGGCUCUGCAGUAAAGUCGAGGGAUUGGAGAUGAGCCACCAUCAGACCCCCCCCCCUCAGCUUGAAGUGAGGACUCUGUUUCAAACUUUAUCGUGGAAUUUCAGCGUUUUAGCGUGACUGGAAUUUAAAGGCAACGUCGCCGCGUCUAGCGUGGAGACAGCGUUCACGUUAAACGCUGUGUAUGUC